This 488-nucleotide ribosomal RNA is filed under the name uncultured bacterium. Its description in RNAcentral is "partial 16S ribosomal RNA". It matches the Rfam family "Bacterial small subunit ribosomal RNA", at positions 28 to 507 of the family's 1533-position model. The record is from RNAcentral.
GACGAACGCUGGCGGCGUGCUUAACACAUGCAAGUCGAACGGAAAGGCCCUGCUUUUGUGGGGUGCUCGAGUGGCGAACGGGUGAGUAACACGUGAGUAACCUGCCCUUGACUUUGGGAUAACUUCAGGAAACUGGGGCUAAUACCGGAUAGGAGCUCCUGCUGCAUGGUGGGGGUUGGAAAGUUUCGGCGGUUGGGGAUGGACUCGCGGCUUAUCAGCUUGUUGGUGGGGUAGUGGCUUACCAAGGCUUUGACGGGUAGCCGGCCUGAGAGGGUGACCGGCCACACGGGAAGUGAGACACGGUCAAGAGUCCUACGGGAGGCAGCAGUCGGGAAUGGUGGGCAAUGGGCGAAAGUUUGACGGAGCAACGCCGCGUGAGUGAUGAAGGCCUUCGGGUCGUAAAGCGCUGUUAGUGGGGAAGAACAGCUGUGGAAGGAACUAUGGCGGUCUUGACGGUACUUAAUAAGAAAGCCCCGGCUAACUACGUG